CCCGACUGCUAUUUGGGUGAGGAUAAGCCAUGCGAGUCGAAUGGGAUACCUAAAUUUCCCAUGGCGAACUGCUCAAUAACACAUGAUCAACUUACCCUAUAGAGAAAAAUAACCUCGGGAAAACUGAGGAUAAUGUUUCAUAGUUGAAAAGGCUUGGAAAAGUUUUUCAAUCAAAGGGAUAAAAAAAAUGGUUUUUAUCCGCUAUAGGAUAGGAUCGUGGUCGAUUAUGGUUGUUGGUGAGGUAAUGGCUCACCAAGCCGAUAAUCGAUAGGGGCCGUGAGAGCGGGAGCCCCGAGAUGGGUACUGAGACAACGACCCAGGCCUUACGAGGCGCAGCAGGCGCGAAACCUCCGCAAUACACGAAAGUGUGACGGGGUUACCCAAAGUGUUCAGUUUUGAACUGUGGUAGGUGAGUAAUGUCCCCUACUAGAAAGGAGAGGGCAAGGCUGGUGCCAGCCGCCGCGGUAAAACCAGCUCUUCAAGUGGUCGGGAUAAUAUUGGGCUUAAAGUGUCCGUAGCCGGUUUAGUAAGUCCCUGGUAAAAUCGGGUAGCUUAACUAUCUGUAUGCUAGGAAUACUGCUAAACUAGAGGGCGGGAGAGGUCUGAGGUACUACAGGGGUAGGGGUGAAAUCUUAUAAUCCUUGUAGGACCACCAGUGGCGAAGGCGUCAGACUGGAACGUGCCUGACGGUGAGGGACGAAAGCCAGGGGAGCGAACCGGAUUAGAUACCCGGGUAGUCCUGGCCGUAAACGAUGCAUACUAGGUGAUGGCAUGGCCAUGAGCCGUGUCAGUGCCGUAGGGAAACCGUUAAGUAUGCCGCCUGGGAAGUACGGUCGCAAGGCUAAAACUUAAAGGAAUUGGCGGGGGAGCACCACAAGGGGUGAAGCCUGCGGUUCA
Molecule: ribosomal RNA, 897 nt
Filed under: uncultured archaeon
Lineage: Archaea
Description: bacterial SSU rRNA
Rfam family: Archaeal small subunit ribosomal RNA
Source: RNAcentral